This 253-nucleotide ribosomal RNA is filed under the name uncultured bacterium. Its description in RNAcentral is "partial 16S ribosomal RNA". It matches the Rfam family "Bacterial small subunit ribosomal RNA", at positions 524 to 776 of the family's 1533-position model. The record is from RNAcentral.
UACGGGGGGGGUAAGCGUUGUUCGGAAUUACUGGGCGUAAAGGGCUCGUAGGCGGCCAACUAAGUCAGACGUGAAAUCCCUCAGCUUAACUGGGGAACUGCGUCUGAUACUGGCGAGCUUGAGUGCAGGAGAGGAACGCGGAAUUCCAGGUGUAGCGGUGAAAUGCGUAGAUAUCUGGAGGAACACCGGUGGCGAAGGCGGCGUUCUGGACUGCAACUGACACUGAUGAACGAAAGCCAGGGGAGCAAACGGG